GUGUGGAAGUACAGAUCACAAGCUCUAAGAAAGAAGCAGUUGAUCAGCAGUCUCAGCAAAUGCCUCGAAAGCGAGGUGGUGAAUUGUCUGAUGACCUUUCAGGUGGGUUGCAACCUGAGCCGUUUGAGCCUGAAGUCUUUGAUGAUUCUUUGGGGUUUGUAGUUUUGAAAGGACACCUUGAAGAGGCGGAAAAAAUUUUGCAAAAUCUUGAGGAGGCAAUUGAAGGGAUGCAUUCACAUACGGGAUCCUUUGGUGGAGCUGCUGGUAAAAUGGCAGCUCCAGCUGUAUCAAAACUA
This 296-nucleotide unclassified non-coding RNA is filed under the name Hevea brasiliensis (rubber tree). The record is from RNAcentral. Lineage: Eukaryota; Viridiplantae; Streptophyta; Magnoliopsida; Malpighiales; Euphorbiaceae.